This 668-nucleotide long non-coding RNA is filed under the name Rhinopithecus bieti (black snub-nosed monkey). Its description in RNAcentral is "lncRNA (ENSRBIG00000046419.1)". Lineage: Eukaryota; Metazoa; Chordata; Mammalia; Primates; Cercopithecidae. The record is from RNAcentral.
UACCAUACCAUUGUUCCAUCGCCAUGGAGAUGAUGAGCCGAAAAGCACUGGCAAGAGGCCUCCCAUGCAGGAUGAAGCCAAAGAAGAAGACGGAGAGAAGAGAGGAAGGACACGCCUAUUAACCAGAGGACCCAAAACAUAUCUCAAGGAGCUCAUGAAGUCACCCUCAUGCAUACAGUUUCCCAGGUGUCAGAUCUGUUUGAGCUUCAGAGAGGCAGUGGCUGCAGGGAAAGACACAGAGAGGAGAACUAGACUCUCGCCCCACUAUGCCAAAGUGGCCCGUGCCUUCUGGUCUUUUCCUUUCCACUGAUUCUGCUCUUCUGCAGGUAUAAUUAGUAAGGAUGGGGUAAAGCUGGAGUAGGGUGGGUCUUUCAUUCAAUAUAGUGAGUGUCCUUAUAAAAAUAAGGUAUCUGGCUGCAGGGCCACACACUCAAGAAAAACACCACGUGGGGAUGAAGGCAGAGAGCAAGGUGAUACAGCUGAAGCCAAGGACGCUGAAGACUUCCUGCAAACCCCCAGAAGCUGGGGGAGAGGCUCUGCCAGUCUUCAGAAGGAGCCAACCCUGCUGAUACCUUGACCUUGAACUCCUAGCCCCAGAACUAUGAGAAAUAAAUUUCUGUUAUUUAAGCCACUCAGUUGUCUUACUUGGUUGUGGCAGCCCUGAGAGG